Molecule: ribosomal RNA, 460 nt
Filed under: uncultured bacterium
Lineage: Bacteria
Description: partial 16S ribosomal RNA
Rfam family: Bacterial small subunit ribosomal RNA
Source: RNAcentral
CCUACGGGAGGCAGCAGUGAGGAAUAUUGGUCAAUGGACGGAAGUCUGAACCAGCCAUGCCGCGUGCAGGAAGACGGCUUUAUGAGUUGUAAACUGCUUUUGUACAAGGGUAAAUCUCAGUAUGUGUCUUCUGCUGACAGUCCUGUACGAAUCAGGCUCGGCUAACUCCGUGCCAGCAGCAGCGGUAAUACGGAGGAUCCAAGCGUUAUGCGGAUUUAUUGGGUUUAACGGGUGCGUAGGCGGAUUGAUAAGUUAGAGGUAAAAUGUCCGGGCUUAACUCGGGAACUGCCUCUAAUACUGUUGUUCUAGAGAGUAGAUGCGGUAGGCGGAAUGUAUGGUGUAGCGGUGAAAUGCUUAGAGAUCAUACAGAACACCGAUUGCGAAGGCAGCUUACCAAACUAUAUCUGACGUUGAGGCACGAAAGCGUGGGGAGCAAACAGGAUUAGAUACCCCAGUAGUC